UGGCUGUUGAGGCAGAAAGAGCAGUUGCAACAGUGCCAGGCAGAGGAGGAGGCAGGGCUACUGCGGAGGCAACGCCAGUACUUUGAGCUUCAGUGUCGCCAAUACAAGCGCAAGAUGCUACUGGCUCGGCACAGCCUAGACCAGGACCUGCUUCGAGAGGUAGACCUGACCCAGCUGCCUUCCCUCACACAGUCAAGGACCUAGCACCUCUCUUCUCUCACUUGCCUCCGUGAGGUCUUCUUUUUCAUCUGCUCUCCUAGUGUUUUGAUUUGGCUCCUUUUCAGCAUCCUUCUUGCUUUCUGUGCCCACUGGACCCUGAUAGGAUGCCCUUACUUGUCUCAUUCACUUCCUCUCUGCUAAAGAAUUUUGUGCCCUUAAUUAUUCAAUUCCAAGAAGGCUCCCUCACUGAGCCCUGAGUUCUGUCACUUUUCUGCCUUAGGACUUGAAUAAGAAACAGACACAGAAGGACUUGGAGUGUGCUCUGCUGUUACGGCAGCAUGAGGCUACCCGAGAGCUGGAGCUACGACAGCUCCAGGCUGUCCAGCGCACACGUGCUGAACUCACCCGCCUUCAGCACCAGACAGAGCUAGGCAACCAGUUGGAGUACAACAAGCGACGGGAGCAAGAGUUGCGGCAGAAGCACGCGGCCCAGGUUCGCCAGCAGCCCAAG
Molecule: long non-coding RNA, 670 nt
Filed under: Rattus norvegicus (Norway rat)
Lineage: Eukaryota; Metazoa; Chordata; Mammalia; Rodentia; Muridae
Description: long non-coding RNA NONRATT003180
Source: RNAcentral